UGUUUGAGUCUUUUGCUCGGCCGGGCUGCCGGUGGCAGAGGCCGCUCUGCAGAAGUGAAAAAUGUAACUGAUGCAUCUCACCAGUGCUGCGUGCAGUUUGAAAGACGUCCAGGUGAAGCAGUCCUUUUGAGGCAGAAGUGCAGUCUUUGGCCAAUACCGCCUUCAGCCCGGUUUCUUCGCUGAGUGAUGGCUGCGGCGAUAGAUCUCCUGUGCUGCCUGUGCAAUUGUACAGGCUCCUAAAUAACAAACUUGCCUUGCGUGAGGACCAGUUUGAGAGUUUGUUCAGCAAAGCCAGCGCAAUGGUAUCGGGAUAUAGGCCCUCCCGCUUACCGGCCUGCACGCACAGCGAGCGUCUGGGAAAAUGCCCCCUCCGAGUCAGUACAAAUUAAG
This 390-nucleotide long non-coding RNA is filed under the name Apteryx owenii (little spotted kiwi). Its description in RNAcentral is "lncRNA (ENSAOWG00000011148.1)". The record is from RNAcentral. Lineage: Eukaryota; Metazoa; Chordata; Aves; Apterygiformes; Apterygidae.